This 228-nucleotide long non-coding RNA is filed under the name Homo sapiens (human). RNAcentral's name for it is "HSALNT0202622". The record is from RNAcentral. Lineage: Eukaryota; Metazoa; Chordata; Mammalia; Primates; Hominidae.
AGAAAAUUCUGGCAAUGUAUUUUGCAUUCUGAAGAUAGAUACAGUCUGUGAGCAGAACUUGGCCCUUGAGUAGAAGAUGCAACAGAAGUGAAAUUAUUUGAGUGAUACAAGAAUCUCAUCAUCAGACACUCUUGCCUUUGGAAUCUAAAAACAUUUUUACAUUAAAGAUAUUCUUUUUAUGGUGCCAGUAUAUCUGCAAAAGAACAUAAGACUGUUAAGGCUCAGGAG